Molecule: ribosomal RNA, 498 nt
Filed under: uncultured bacterium
Lineage: Bacteria
Description: partial 16S ribosomal RNA
Rfam family: Bacterial small subunit ribosomal RNA
Source: RNAcentral
AUUGAACGCUGGCGGCAUGCUUUACACAUGCAAGUCGAACGGUAACAGGCCGCAAGGUGCUGACGAGUGGCGAACGGGUGAGUAAUGCAUCGGAACGUGCCCAGUCGUGGGGGAUAACGCAGCGAAAGCUGUGCUAAUACCGCAUACGAUCUAUGGAUGAAAGCGGGGGACCGUAAGGCCUCGCGCGACUGGAGCGGCCGAUGUCAGAUUAGGUAGUUGGUGGGGUAAAGGCUCACCAAGCCAACGAUCUGUAGCUGGGCUGAGAGGACGACCAGCCACACUGGGACUGAGACACGGCCCAGACUCCUACGGGAGGCAGCAGUGGGGAAUUUUGGACAAUGGGCGCAAGCCUGAUCCAGCAAUGCCGCGUGCAGGAAGAAGGCCUUCGGGUUGUAAACUGCUUUUGUACGGAACGAAAAGGUUUGGGUUAAUACCCUGGGCCGAUGACGGUACCGUAAGAAUAAGCACCGGCUAACUACGUGCCAGCAGCCGCCGUAA